This 253-nucleotide ribosomal RNA is filed under the name uncultured bacterium. RNAcentral describes it as "partial 16S ribosomal RNA". It matches the Rfam family "Bacterial small subunit ribosomal RNA", at positions 524 to 776 of the family's 1533-position model. The record is from RNAcentral.
UACGUAGGCAGCGAGCGUUGUUCGGAGUUACUGGGCGUAAAGAAUGCGUAGGCGGUUUUCUAAGUUUGGUGUGAAAUCUCCCGGCUCAACUGGGAGGGUGCGCCGAAGACUGGAAGGCUUGAGUAUGGGAGAGGUAAGCGGAAUUCCUGGUGUAGCGGUGAAAUGCGUAGAUAUCAGGAGGAACACCAAUGGCGAAGGCAGCUCGCUGGGACGGUACUGACGCUGAGACGCGAAAGCGUGGGGAGCAAACAGG